ACCUUUAAUUUUUUAAAAUUUCCUAAACCUGCCUAUAUCCCCCUAAACUUCCUAUUUCACUAACACCUAUGUGACAGUGUUAAGAGAUAGGUCUUUGGAAGGCAAUUAAGUCAUGAAGGUGGAACUCUCAUGAAUAGGAUUGGUACCCUAAUACAAGAAACUCCAGAGAGAUUGUUGGCCUAUACUACCCAUGAGGAUACAACCAGAAGUCUACAACCCAGACCAGGACCUUCAGGCAACCAUGCUUGCACCCGAAACUCAGACCUCCAGCCUCCAGAACUGAGAAAUCAAUCUCUAUUGCUGAAAAGCUAGCUCAGUCUGUGGUACUUUGUUAUAGCAGCCUGAAUAAACUAAGACAACAUGUGACAUGUGAUAGCCCACAGCAUGUACAGAAUGAUGGAUCACAAAUGGAAAGUAAUGUCGCAUGGAAGACAGGGAAUACCACAGGGCAGCUUAAACAGAAGGCAUUUCUUUCUCACUCUGUUAUAGUAAUAAGUUUAGUUAGUAUAAGAUAGCAUAAUCAAAUUUCAUUUUUAUUAGAGUGAAUUUUAAACUUUACUUAGAAGACUUAAUUUGUGUGUGUGUGUGUGUGUAUGUGACCCUGAUAAGUAACUUGUAACUCCCUGCGUGUAAACAACUUGUAACUCCCUGCGUGUGUAUCCUGAUAAGCCCAGAAGGCCACCAGAGCACACUGAUAUGAGACACUGAAGAAGCCCACCCAUGGGGCAUAAAAGAAGGACUCUCACAGCAGCAGUCAGACGCCUGUCUGACCUCCACAGACAAGACGUUCUCCUUCCCCCUGGAAACUGCCGUCCCUGCUCUGCUUCUGAGCCCAGACUGUUAGAGGCCUCUCUUUGAGUCAAGAGACCGAGCUCCUGCCGCAGCGUAUUUGACGACCUCCGUGUGUCUCUGUCAGCAAGUGUCUCUGGGUGGCCUGCCAAGGACUGAAACCCAUCAGCUCUCUGGCUGGAAGUCCAAGAUGAGGUGCCAGCAUGGUCAGGUUCUGGUGAGAGCCCUCCUCCCAGCUGCACGUGGCUGUCUCCUCCUCUGUGCUCACAUGGCAGAAGUCCUGACUAGAGAAGAACUAUGGUCAAGACAUUCAAAGCUGUGCCUGCUUACUCCUAAUGAAGAGGAUCCUGGGCCUCAUCUCUUAUAAGAAGGAGUGUUUUCUAGAAGUUAAAAUUUCCCCUCCUUGGUUGAUUAAUAUAUUUCCAAGUAUAUCCAAAGGACUUGGAAUUGGAUUUAAAAAUUCCAAGCUUAAGAAACCCUUUGAAAAGCAGAUUUUAAGACAGGAUUAGAUUUGCAGGAGAUUUACUGAGGGAAAUGCCUGUGAAGAAUAAACAGAGGUAGCAGAAGUAGGCAAGGAGAGCCUUUAGAUACUGAUGCAGGUCUGACACCUGUGAAAGGAGUGGAGUGGGGAAGGAAUAUCCAUCAAGAAGAGUCUCGGCUUUUUUUUUUGGAAGAUGGCGGCGGUAUAGGCAGACGCGUCCCAGGUCGUGUCCCUGAGCAAAUGGAGUGAGCAGCUGAAACUAGUAACAUCCACCCCGA
Myotis myotis is the source of this 1548-nucleotide long non-coding RNA. RefSeq lists it as uncharacterized. The transcript is spliced from 3 exons. The record is from RefSeq and is a predicted model, not a curated record. Lineage: Eukaryota; Metazoa; Chordata; Mammalia; Chiroptera; Vespertilionidae.